This is a non-coding RNA of Bemisia tabaci, 3371 nucleotides long. The record is from RefSeq and is a predicted model, not a curated record. Lineage: Eukaryota; Metazoa; Arthropoda; Insecta; Hemiptera; Aleyrodidae.
CAACUGAUAACAUCCAAUUGAUAACAAGGCGGGCGUGAUUGACUCCAAAAGGACAUCAUCAAGCUAGUGGGCAUGUAAUUCUCCCGAGCAUCGCGCAGUCUAAACUCUUUCAAUCUCCACUCGGGCCGUGUUCCCUCAAAAUUUAAAGUGAAUGUGACAUUUUUAACGAUUCCUUCUCUAAUCCUCAUAUCUUCACUUUGAAUCAUACCGUCGAAAGUGCCUGAAAAAUUAGUGCGAGAACACGCUACAGGCUGCGAACUGAUGAAGGGUAUCUUGGAUGAAGAGGCUCCGUAUAUUUUACAAAACGAAACGUGGGAGUAUCCAGGUUUCCCCUAUCCAGUCGAGCCUCUAACCUUCUGUGAGACUGACAAUACAACCAAAAUAAACGGAAAAGUGGACAAGUGCACUGAAAACAAAGAACAUCAAGACAGAGGUUACUCGCGUGUUUCAACUUCUUGAAGGUCCGAAAGGAAAAACUAGUGAUAAAUUCUAUUAGGCCCAUCUACAACAGCCUGGUAAAUACAAACUUCAUUCGAAUUCUUGAUGAUGUGGAUCAGCUCAAAUAGAACCCUCGGAAAAUAUUGCUUCUCAGAGCUAAAACUUCAGCUCCAUUGAAGUCAAACCAAUGAUCUUUAGAGUCCUAAUGCGGUGGUGUAAUGCCGUUUUCUUCGCUUUCUUAUACCGAUGUGAAAAUAAUAUUUUUUCAAGGUUUGUUUUUUCUGCCCGAUGUAUCCCUGGUAAAAAUGCGUGGUGCUUAGAUCAGUAGCAAUCGCCUUUCGAACAGACCUUAACACUGAUGUCAGUACUUUCUGGCUCUGAACUGAUAGGUCAGUUUUAGGUCUAUUCCAAUGGCACCAAUAUACUUGUGAGCCUGGAUUGAUGUUUGGUUGAAGUAGUUACAUUGCUGGGGCUGGAAUGGAUGGAGCGGUGUGAAACAUGUGGCGAACAUUGUCUGCAACACGCCUAGCGCGUCUUUUUUCAUAGCGUUUCCAUAGAAAAUAUAGUCCUGCAAGGAUGAUGAGGCUUAUAACGCCGAAUUGCAAAUGAUCAUAUAUCGAAGAGGAAAACGAUGGAUUUUACCCCGUGUUUAUUAUUGCUAUUUUUUCGUCUGGCCCUAUUAUGCCCAUUUCUGAUAUCUCUACAACAAUAGCUGAACUGUCCGUAAGGUUGAUUUGCGUAGUUGGUUGUGAUGGGGCUUCCGAAAACGCAGCACAGGCAGGACUGAGGGGGUGGUCCCAACACCACAGGGUAGUGAACCAACUUCUAUCCAGUUUGUGGCUUACUGGGUGAGACUUCAGGACCACUGGAAAAAUUUCGGGUUGUGGCGGAUGACGUAUUAGAAAACCCGCAAAGUGUCGAGGAAGAAGGAACAGAAUGAAACUGGUGUACGCGGGCUUCGUUUAUUUCGUUGUCAGAACGCGCGGAGAUAUGGUUUUCGUACACACCAUUUGGUUGCUUUCAUUUUUUGCUUUUUAUUUAGACUUAAGGAAACUAAGAAGUGAGUACAACAGAAAACUCAUGUUUAUUAAAAAUUUCAGUUACAUUUUUUGACAAAAAAGGCAAAUGUGGGAGCGAAAUCAAUUUUACCCAGUCAAUUCUCCUUUCAGGCUUCACAUAGGCUUCAUGUCCUUUAAUUUCUUUCUUGCACAUUGCUCUUUAAAAUGCUCUGUCAAUGAGGGGGAAAAUUUUUCAACUAAAAAUUUUUUACUCAUGUGGAUCGUCUCAGGUAAAAAUUGAUAAUCUGAAAGUCGGACAAUUCGCUGCGCCAGAUUUGAAACAAACUUUUUCUUAUAAGCAUCUGGUUGCACGAUUUCACGGUUGUUGCGGUGUAGCAACGUAGUAAAAUGUAAAUAUGGUACCAAAAGCUGAUUCCAUCGUGCCGGUACCGUAACUAUUUGUCCGUUAAAAAGUUGUUCAUAAAACUCAAUCGUCGCAGAAAAAACCCUAACUGUUAAUUCUAGAUAUGCAAAUAUAGAAUGGAGCGUAUAACCUGGAGAUUAUUAAUCAAGUAUUCCCAAUGUUGUAUAAGUAUACUCAUGAACCCCCAAUGGCUCGAAUGAUGAGAGCUUUUUGUAUCCCUACGUAAACCAUGAUCAAAGGUGUUAACCAAAUACUGUCGGCGAGAAACACGUAGCUAAUUGCGAGCGCUACGUUAUCAUAACCACCAAUGUCUUCGUGUUCAGCCGUCAGUACUUCCUGUAUGGCAAUUCUUACAUGUAAUAGUAGGUAAAGUGUGGUCAAAUUGAAAAAUGAAAAAUUGUGCUUUGUAAAUGGUAUUGAAAAUGAAUGUUUCCCACGCAUCAUUUCUUACAAAGUGUCCUCGCAAAUCCCCAAUGGCUCCAAUGAUUAGAGCAUUUUUUAUCCCAACGUAGUUAUAAAAAAUAGAGUUAACACCUUGUAGUCCUCUAUAUAAUCAAUAAAGGAAAAAAAAGAAGAAGAAAAAAAAGGUAAAGCGUGGUUAAAUUGAAAAAUGAAAAAUUGUGUCAUGUAAAUGGUAUUGAAAAUUAAAGUUUCCCGCGCAUCUCUUCUUACGAAGUAUACUCACAAAUCCCCAAUGGCUCCAAUGAUUAGGGCAUUUUCUAUCCCUUUGUAAGUCAUUACUAUGGCUGUCAACCAAAUACUGCCGAAGAGAAACGCGUAGUUAAUGGCGAGACCUACGUUAUCAUAACCACCAAAGUCUUCGUGUUCAGCCGUCAGUACUUCCUGCGUGGCAAUACUUACAAGUAGUAGUAGGUUAAGCGUGGUCAAAUUGAAAAAUGAAAAAUAGUGUUUUGUGAAUGGUAUUGAAAAUUAAAGUUUUCCGCGCAUCUCUUAAUACGGAGUAUACUCACAAAUCCCCAAUGGCUCCAAUGAUUAGAGCAUUUUUUAUCCCAAUAAGUCAUCAUUGUGACUGUCAACCAAAUACUGCCGAAGAGAAACGCGUAGUUGAUGGCGAGACCUACGUAUCCAUCGCCGGCAAAGUCCUCGUUGUCAUCGUACAUACUUGCAGUCAGUAUUUUCUGUAAGGCAUUUACUGAGGGGUUUGGAGGACAUGGCUCAUAAGUGCAUGUUAUUGCUAUUUCGAGAAAUACGUGUUCGAAGUUUUGAAAUUGUACGGCGAUCCUUAUGAUGGAAAGAGAGUUCAAAAUGACUUUUUGAUACUUCAAAAUUGGACUUUGGGUGCAAUUUUUUUUUUUACAUAAUAUGCAUUUUGACUAGUUUUACUUGAAAUCAUUAAUAUCAUUAUAUUUUCAAAAACUGCACUUAUACGCCCUGUCCUCCUAGCCGCUCAAUUAUAAUUCGUAGUAGUCAUGUCAAAUUGAAUGAUGGAAAAUUGUGUUUUGUAAACGGUACCUAUUGAAAAUUAAAGUUUCCCACGUAUCUCUAAGAAA